GGGGGCGCCAUGGUUUCGACUGAAGGUUGGAAACGUGGGCAGCAUGUGGAGGUUGAUCGGUUGGCCUCCUAAAAAGCCGAUCAAAACAAAUAACUGCAGACUCUAACGAGCUAGCACUUGCUGCUUAAUUGACAGCAACGUUCUCUGUCCCACGCCCGCUAAGGCAGAGAGCGACUACCAGUGGGCUGGCGAGAAGGCCGGUUGUCCGGACCGACUCGCAAGACUAAACAGGGCAAUCGGGAACCAGAACUGGCGGACAGAGGUCCGGAUCCUUAAACACCAACUGACCGCUAAACAUGUAGAAGCUUGCGCGAAAUGCCUUUAGGACAGGGGUUCGACUCCCCUCGCCUCCACCA
RNAcentral lists this transfer-messenger RNA (356 nucleotides) under Roseibacillus sp. It matches the Rfam family "transfer-messenger RNA". From Rfam's summary of the family: Bacterial tmRNA, also known as 10Sa RNA or SsrA, is named for its dual tRNA and mRNA-like properties. Its role is to liberate the mRNA from a stalled ribosome. Lineage: Bacteria; Pseudomonadati; Verrucomicrobiota; Verrucomicrobiia; Verrucomicrobiales; Verrucomicrobiaceae. The record is from RNAcentral.